Molecule: ribosomal RNA, 165 nt
Filed under: Curcuma xanthorrhiza
Lineage: Eukaryota; Viridiplantae; Streptophyta; Magnoliopsida; Zingiberales; Zingiberaceae
Description: 5.8S ribosomal RNA
Rfam family: 5.8S ribosomal RNA
About the family: 5.8S ribosomal RNA (5.8S rRNA) is a component of the large subunit of the eukaryotic ribosome.
Source: RNAcentral
CAAAUGACUCUCGGCAAUGGAUAUCUCGGCUCUUGCAUCGAUGAAGAACGUAGUGAAAUGCGAUACUUGGUGUGAAUUGCAGAAUCUCAUGAACCAUUGAGUCUUUGAACGCAAGUUGUGCCCGAGGCCUUGUGGUCGAGGGCACGCCUGCUUGGGUGUCAUGAC